AACGAACGCUGGCGGCAUGCCUAACACAUGCAAGUCGAACGAGACCUUCGGGUCUAGUGGCGCACGGGUGCGUAACGCGUGGGAAUCUGCCCUUGGGUUCGGAAUAACAGUUAGAAAUGACUGCUAAUACCGGAUAAUGUCUUCGGACCAAAGAUUUAUCGCCCAGGGAUGAGCCCGCGUAGGAUUAGCUAGUUGGUGGGGUAAAGGCUCACCAAGGCGACGAUCCUUAGCUGGUCUGAGAGGAUGAUCAGCCACACUGGGACUGAGACACGGCCCAGACUCCUACGGGAGGCAGCAGUGGGGAAUAUUGGACAAUGGGCGAAAGCCUGAUCCAGCAAUGCCGCGUGAGUGAUGAAGGCCUUAGGGUUGUAAAGCUCUUUACCCGGGAUGAUAAUGACAGUACCGGGAGAAUAAGCCCCGGCUAACUACGUGCCAGCAG
RNAcentral lists this ribosomal RNA (439 nucleotides) under uncultured bacterium. Its description in RNAcentral is "bacterial SSU rRNA". It matches the Rfam family "Bacterial small subunit ribosomal RNA", at positions 29 to 514 of the family's 1533-position model. The record is from RNAcentral.